Molecule: ribosomal RNA, 739 nt
Filed under: Kocuria palustris
Lineage: Bacteria; Bacillati; Actinomycetota; Actinomycetes; Micrococcales; Micrococcaceae
Description: bacterial SSU rRNA
Rfam family: Bacterial small subunit ribosomal RNA
Source: RNAcentral
GACGAACGCUGGCGGCGUGCUUAACACAUGCAAGUCGAACGCUGAAGCACCAGCUUGCUGGUGUGGAUGAGUGGCGAACGGGUGAGUAAUACGUGAGUAACCUGCCCUUGACUCUGGGAUAAGCCCGGGAAACUGGGUCUAAUACUGGAUGCUACAUGUCACCGCAUGGUGGUGUGUGGAAAGGGUUUACUGGUCUUGGAUGGGCUCACGGCCUAUCAGCUUGUUGGUGAGGUAAUGGCUCACCAAGGCGACGACGGGUAGCCGGCCUGAGAGGGUGACCGGCCACACUGGGACUGAGACACGGCCCAGACUCCUACGGGAGGCAGCAGUGGGGAAUAUUGCACAAUGGGCGAAAGCCUGAUGCAGCGACGCCGCGUGAGGGAUGACGGCCUUCGGGUUGUAAACCUCUUUCAGCAGGGAAGAAGCCACAAGUGACGGUACCUGCAGAAGAAGCGCCGGCUAACUACGUGCCAGCAGCCGCGGUAAUACGUAGGGCGCAAGCGUUGUCCGGAAUUAUUGGGCGUAAAGAGCUCGUAGGCGGUUUGUCGCGUCUGCUGUGAAAGCCCGGGGCUUAACCCCGGGUGUGCAGUGGGUACGGGCAGACUAGAGUGCAGUGGGGGAGACUGGAAUUCCUGGUGUAGCGGUGGAAUGCGCAGAUAUCAGGAGGAACACCGAUGGCGAAGGCAGGUCUCUGGGCUGUUACUGACGCUGAGGAGCGAAAGCAUGGGGAGCGAACAGG